Molecule: ribosomal RNA, 253 nt
Filed under: uncultured bacterium
Lineage: Bacteria
Description: partial 16S ribosomal RNA
Rfam family: Bacterial small subunit ribosomal RNA
Source: RNAcentral
UACAGAGGUCUCAAGCGUUGUUCGGAUUCAUUGGGCGUAAAGGGUGCGCAGGCGGCCAAGUGUGUGAGGCGUGAAAGCCCGGGGCUCAACCCCGGAAGCGCACUCGAUACUGCCGAACUAGGGUCCUGAAGAGGAGAGCGGAAUUCCCGGUGUAGAGGUGAAAUUCGUAGAUAUCGGGAGGAACACCAGUGGCGAAGGCGGCUCUCUGGGCAGGUACCGACGCUGAGACGCGAAAGCGUGGGAAGCAAACAGG